AUGGGCAUGGCUGAGAAGAGUUCGGUGGCGAGGAAGGCCGGGCUAAUCACCAAGACGUUGGACCGGUGCCGGAGCACGACGGCGAGGAACAAGCCAAUGGAGGGGUGCUUCUCGGUGUAUGUCGGUGCGGACAGACAACGGUACGUGGUGCGGACGGAGUGCCUGAACCACCCGUUGUUCCAGGCACUGCUGGAGGAGGCCGAGGAGGCGUUUGGGUACGCAGACGCAGGGCCCCUCGAGCUGCCUUGCAACACCGAGGCAUUCGCCAAGGUGCUGGAGAAGAUCGAGAAGGAGAAGCAGAUGGCGGCGCCGAGGAGGCACGGCCUCCCUAGGGGAACUCCUAUCGGUCGCUUGGCACUGGCUGGCCUAUGA
RNAcentral lists this ribosomal RNA (372 nucleotides) under Triticum aestivum (bread wheat). RNAcentral describes it as "partial small subunit ribosomal RNA". The record is from RNAcentral. Lineage: Eukaryota; Viridiplantae; Streptophyta; Magnoliopsida; Poales; Poaceae.